GUUCUGGAUUUCAGGAAGAACGGAGUCCCACCUUCCCCCAUCACCCUGUGUGACUCCCCCGUCACCAUUGUGGAUUCUUUCCGUUUUCUGGGCUCUAUCAUCACCCAGGACCUCAAGUGGGGGCUGAACAUCAGCUCCAUCAUCAAGAAGGCUCAGCAGAGGCUGUUGUUCCUGAGGCAACUGAAGAAAUUCAACCUGCCAAUGACGGUGAUGGUGCACUUCUACACGGCCACAAAUGAGUCCAUCCUCUGCUCCUCCAUCACAUGUUGGCUGCAGCAUGUCACCCGCUCUGUAGAGACUUGUUUACUUCUGGGACCCUUCUAGGGUUCAUUAACAGAGCCUGUGUCCCCCACUGAUUGACUUUGUCAUCCCUUUUUCCACCGAUCACUCCCUUCACACUCCACAUGCACAUACACCUGUUCACUUUCACAUACUCACAACUCACGCUGGUGCGCUUUAUUUUUAACUUUUAUUCCUUUAUUUUUAAAUCGUUUAUUCUAAAUCCUCCUAAACCAUACUCUUAUAUUUUAUAUUUCCAUUGUCUUACAUUGACAACUGCCAAGUCAAAUUCCUUGUAUUUCAUAUUUUGGUAAUACAUGUUUCCUGAUUGCUGAUUCAAGGCGACAUCUAGAGACGAUUCAGGGCACAGACCCGUGACCACACAGCUGACAAUCUACCCAGUGAUUCCAUGGGAAGAUCAAGUGGGAGGUGUGAAGUCAAAGAAGGGUUUUCUCAUAGGAUGUAUAAAGGAGAGAAGAACGGCAGGUUGAUGGGAGCAAACCCAGGCAGCUAGGAAAGGAGGCAGAGCUAUUUUCCGGGAAGAGGACCUAAAAUUUGGCGGACGUGCAUGGGAAGAAAGAACGAACAGCUGACAGACGAGAUCCAGCUGAUAGAAAGCUUGGUUGUGCGGUGCGCAAUAACAUGCCUCUUGCAUCGAUAGUUAGCUUAGUAAAAGUGUCUUCUCAUGAAUUUCUCUAACCAUCUUUCUUUGACCCUGUGGCGUUUUCUACAGAGGUCAAAGAAAAGUGUUUAGGAAUAGCCAUUAUGAGGUGUUUUGACUAUUCAAAUCCAGGCUAAGUCUAAAACACAAUACAUACCCACCUAGUGAUGAUUUAGGAUGUGUGAUUGGCGACCUGUCAGUUUCCAUUCGUUACAUGGAAAUAGGGCUGUCACAAUAACUACUUUUGGUUUUGGAAUAUACUGCGCCCAAAUUAAUUGCGAUAAACAUUAUUAUUGUAAUUUUCAGACAGUUUUGUGCCACUGAUUAAUGACAAUAUAAUAGCAUAAAAGUGUACACUCUUUCAAAGAAAUGUCUUUCUAAUUAGACAUUAGAAACGGAAUGUUACACAUAUUCCGAGAAAGGAAUACCUACAUUUACCUUGUGGGGCUUAAAGCAGGAUCUUUUGGGGCGAUUGAAGGUUGCAUCCAUUUGGCUACAAGCAUGUUCUAUCCGUAAGUGUGCACCAUUUCUCACUAUCAAGGGUAUAUUUGCACUAUCAAAAAGAUUGGCAUGAAGAUCGCGACUUUUAAGCCAAGUCCUUGUUUAUCCUAACUGGCUUUCGAUUUCACGAAAAAAAAACACUUCAAAACAGUGGGUUCACGCCUCCUCUUCGCGUGUGUGUGGAGGCGCUGCCUGAGGCCCACCUCCGCUUACGACAAAAAGAGUAAUGACAGAGGCGUAAGACACAGGAGGAAGUGUUGGUGACAUUCAUUUUUUUAUUCAUUAUGCAAUCUGGAUUGUGCCAUAUCAUAAUGUCAAAUUAACGGUUUUGUUCAUGUAAUUAAACUCAUUAAAAGGGAAAUUAUGUUUUCUAGUGAGGAGUUAAAAUUAACAUCGAAACCAAGACAUAAUAAACGUGGACAUCCGUAUGGAAACGUGGAGUCGGUAAUUUUAAAACCCUUCUGUUUCCUUUCUUUUAAUCUUGGCAGGUUGUCUGCCAUAAAAAGGCACAGAGUCAGAGGCCUCUCUUGAAAAGUCAUAGAUAAUAAAAGUACGAAAUGCAACCAACCAUUGGUUUGUGUACUACAGUUUUCAAGCCAUUCCAUUGUCAUCUCAGUUUUUGGCUGUUGCCAUCUUGAGUUUGAUAACAGGAGUAGUUUAACGAUUAACGCCCAUGAAAUGAAAACUAUGAAGGCAAAUCAAUGUCAAAACUCAAGAGCGCAAAUUAAGGCCAUGCGCGCACAGAAAUCAAACAUUUGCAAACAAAAGUCAGUCUCACUUGAGCUAUUUGGUCGCUUAGGGAACAAAUCUUUUCUCGCUGUUGUUAAUAUUUGACAGUAAGGUCACAGUCACCAUGGUAUCUCUACAUAUAAUUGGUUACAAACCUCAUUUUAGGAAUGCAUAACUCCAGCCAAUCCAAACUAUAGAAGCUAUUUUGCUUUUUUACUGUAAGGAGGCGGAGCCAGUUGCCCUGGUAUCUCUACAUCUAAAUUGGUUACAAACCUAAUUUUUGGAUUGGCUGGAUGUCAUCUCUGUUGAGACUUAUGCAUUCCCAGAACUAUAGAGCCCAUUUCUGCACUAAACUAAGGAUGGGGUUGGAAAGAUUAGAAAAAGGAUGAAAUAAGACAUAGUUCGGUAAAGUUGUCAAGAUAUUCACAGAUUCAGACUUUCCGAUUCAAUUGCUCGUCAGCGAAACCUUAUUUUACCAAUAAGGACCAGUCUGCGAGCUGGAAAAAUUGGUCUAAAUAUGUGGCCAAAGUGAGACUCUAUUGGUAAAAUUAUGCUAAAUUAGGGUUGUAGCUGGUUUUCAAUUAGUCCUUUUCUCAGACUUGUAUACAUCAAGAGCAGUUGCUACCUGAUGAACAGCAGAGAGAAUGCAGGUGUAAUGCUGCGUUCACACCACCUACUCGCGCGAGUAGAUUCCAUGCAAUGUCAAUGCACAAAUGCGUCUGGUCGCGAAGGAGUUGAAUUUUAAAUGAGCGGCGCGAAAGACGUGGUGCGUGGGACAUGAAAAAGCGAAACGAGCGAAGCGAAAUAUUUCAAUUUGGGCAAAAAAUUUGCCCGCCGCUGUCUUGUGAAAGCCAAUCAGCGUUGAGAUGUUACGCUCGCACACAUCUCCAUCGUCCUGCAGCCACAGCGUGAAUACACUUUUAACAAGUAAAGAUAGUUGUGUCUAACCAAGAGAUGCCGGCACCGAGCCGACACAACUGGUCAUCAGACCGGCUGCUGGUCAGCCUGAAGCAGCGCUGGAAGCGGCAGUCAUCCAGACACACUUUCCUGGAGGAGAUGGUGAAAUUCCAGCUGUGUGCGACGAUGGAUGAUGUCAUAAACCCAAACACAAUACCAUUUGCGGUUCUGACGUUUGUGUAAUUCACACAACAAAUAACGAGCAGAAAUAGUGGUUAUUUAUUGCCAUGUUGGAUAGCGGAAACUACAACUGUCUUUACGGAGACAAGCCACGCUCCCUUUCAGGCGCGAAUGAAGCAAAAUAAUUACAACUAGGCGGGCGAGUGUUGCAGUGGUUGCAUUGUUGUUGGCCGUUCAGCAUCAGCUCCUUUUGAGAAGGAGGCUUUCAAUCAAUGUAUGUAACUCUGAAAAGAAUGUGACAGAAUGACGGGGGGAGGGGCACCGCCAGUUGUCGAGUGAGGUUUUUAAAAGCAAAUUAGUGUUUUUGUAUUGCUGCCAUCGGCCUGUAUACGUUGUUUAUGGUAGUUAUGGUUUGCAGUCCUGAGAGAAGUUGGCUUGAGUUGACUAUACAGUUGAAACGUUUUGUUCUGGUAUUUCAUCUGUUCUAUGUAAAUAAAUAUUACUUCCUCAAUGUUACUCCAUCCAUAAUUCCAUCACAAUGAAUAAGUAGAUCUUUAAACCAACAAAUCAGGUCAAAUGUUCGAUGACUUAAGAAGGACCAUACCAGUGAAUUUAACAUCUCUUAGAGGAUCUAUUUACUACUUAGAGCAUAUUCUCAACAAAAUUGUCGACAAAUAAGUGAUGAGGCAAUUUUUCCACAAAGAUGAAGAAACAAGAGUAAAUUUGAAUCAUGAAGGAUUUAAGUACAUUUUGUCAAGCUGAAGGCAGGACCCAAACGUCAAAAAGCAAAAGGACUUUAAUCGUCAAAAAGGUAAAAGCAAAGGCCAAGGGGCAAAAACGCACACAGGAACCAGGGCAAAAAUACAGGCAGGGACCAAGAAACAUCCAGGACAAACGACGAGGAACAUCCGGGACAAUGACGCGACAAGAGACACACUGCUUCAAUGCACUAGGGAGGUGCAGGUGAUUGGACACAGGUGGAAACAAUCAGACAAUCACAGACGAUGACAGGACAAGGCAGGAAGUGAAGUUACCCAGGGAGACAAGAAGCAGAAACUACAAAAUAAGACAGGAAAUAAAACCACACCGUAACAAAGAAACCCAAUACCAAUUGUGACAAUUGGGGAAACUCCAUCUGCCAAGAAAGACAGUUUGAAAGGUUAAAGGAAACAUUUAUUGCCAUAAUAUGUCAGACAUACAAGGAAAUUGACUUUGCAGUUGGUGAAUAACAGCAGACAGUAUGACAAGACAAUAUAGUGGAGGAAUAAAGGAAUAAGUAAUAAAAUAGAGGAAAAAAAUAUAAUAUAAUACUAUGGGUUAGUAAUAUAAGGCAAUGGGUUAGUUGAAUUACACACAAGUGUAUGUUUACUGUUGGUUCAUUCUGCUGUAGCUUUAUGAUAUCGCUACAUGAUAACAUGCUAUUAAAAAAAGCUAGUAGCCUAGCCUUUAUUGUUAGCAGCUUCAAAUUUACUACUCUCCCACCACACUUUUACCAAUCGUAUUCCGUUUGAUUAGUUUUGGGAGAAAAACCUUCACAAUAAUGCAAAUAACUCUUUCGGGCUACAACUGAACAAAAACAUUUCAAAACAAGUGUUUUUUGACAUUUGGAUGCUGUAACUAUAUUUCAGACGGUUGAAUACGUGGUGAAAAUAGGUCUUAGAUGUACCAAAUAUCAGUUUUCUACCUGAAAUCAAUGUUGAAUUUCCUGUUGGUGCUCAAAGGGUUGGUUAUUAGGAUAAAUAUUAAAUAAAUGAGACAGUCAGCUCAAUGUAUGACUGUUGCCGUCACGGCAUGUUAUUGAAAAAUUGAGAGCUGAAACAAUGUUCAAAGAUGACCGGGUGAGGGAUGUGAUGGAGACACAAAGAGCAGGUGCAGCUCAAAGCACAUCCGAUCCCUUUUACAUCCUCUCUAAUUUAACUCAGAUCUGUAAUGAGAAAUCUCAAACACAAGAGGAGACAAAGAUAGAGGUAAAGCAGGUGAAUUCAGUCUUCAGCAAACCAGCUUAGACCGACAGAUAUAAGGGUAAACACUUCACAAGCAAGCAGGGUGCUUCAGAGGGACUUAUACAAAGAAGGUGAUACAAAGAAGGUGAUAGACGGAGAAAAGGGGAAAUGAGUGCUCCACCUCUUUGCCCCCUCAGUUCCUCUCAGGAGGUGUCAGGAGAGGUGUGUAAAGAACCAGCGCCCCAUUUCCUAUGAGAGGGAGCAGCGCGGAAUUUAGAUAACUCAUUUCCAUUUGAGUGGUACAAAGACGAAAAGGCUUGGAGACAAUUAGAAUGAGAGUGUAGCCUCAGUAUCUUGAAUAGUCCUUGAUGAGCGCAAACGAGGCAGUUUGGAUGGGUUAAUCAACCGUAAUCGGAAAGCAGGUAUUGAACAUGCAAUCCUCCACCCCAAAUUAUAAGAUUGUCACUUCCACAAAAGUGCAUCUUUUAAUUAAACAGUGUCCUUUCACUCUGUCUUUUCCUUAUUCAGAAGUGUGAAGCAGCACUGAUUGUAUCAGAUCACUAGGAAGAAAUUGCUUUUCUGCCGCAGCAGGGAUGAUGAAAGGGGUAGGAACACAGAGAAAGAUAGUUUG
This is a long non-coding RNA of Gasterosteus aculeatus aculeatus (three-spined stickleback), 5821 nucleotides long. NCBI's taxonomy places the organism in Eukaryota, Metazoa, Chordata, Actinopteri, Perciformes, Gasterosteidae. The record is from Ensembl.